RNAcentral lists this ribosomal RNA (486 nucleotides) under uncultured Glomeromycotina. RNAcentral's name for it is "SSU rRNA". It matches the Rfam family "Eukaryotic small subunit ribosomal RNA", at positions 591 to 1078 of the family's 1831-position model. Lineage: Eukaryota; Fungi; Glomeromycota. The record is from RNAcentral.
CCAAUAGCGUAUAUUAAAGUUGUUGCAGUUAAAAAGCUCGUAGUUGAAUUUCGGGGUCAGCAGGUUGGUCGUGCCAUUGGUAUGCACUGGCUUCGCUGAUUCCUCCUUUCUGAAGAACUGUAAUGCCAUUAAUUUGGUGUUGCAGGGAAACAGGACUGUUACUUUGAAAAAAUUAGAGUGUUUAAAGCAAGCUAACGCUUGAAUACAUCAGCAUGGAAUAAUGAAAUAGGACGUUUGAUCCUAUUUUGUUGGUUUCUAGGAUUGACGUAAUGAUUAAUAGGGAUAGUUGGGGGCAUUAGUAUUCAAUUGUCAGAGGUGAAAUUCUUGGAUUUAUUGAGGACUAACUGCUGCGAAAGCAUUUGCCAAGGAUGUUUUCAUUAAUCAAGAACGAAAGUUAGGGGAUCGAAGACGAUCAGAUACCGUCGUAGUCUUAACCAUAGACUAUGCCGACUAGGGAUCGGAUGAUGUUAAUUUUUUAAUGACUCA